Helicoverpa armigera (cotton bollworm) is the source of this 433-nucleotide long non-coding RNA. RefSeq lists it as uncharacterized. The transcript has 3 exons. The record is from RefSeq and is a predicted model, not a curated record. Lineage: Eukaryota; Metazoa; Arthropoda; Insecta; Lepidoptera; Noctuidae.
UCUCAACUCACGCGCAAAUAUCUUAAAGGGCAAGAAAGGCUACUCGUAUCCAUAUUUAUUCCUAGCAUUAAUAUAUUUUUAGCCACACCUGAACAAGUUGUCUUUACAAACAGACGUCUUUAAAAUGAAGUUUCUAUAUAUUUUGUUGAUUUUCUUUGUGUUCGGCUAUAGUUAUGGGCAAGAGAUUGCAGAUGGAACUGCUGCUGCGCCACGCAGCCCAAUAAUUCCUGUUGAUUAUAUUAUAAACAAGAUCAAUGAGAAGCCGAAUGCUAAUUUACCAGGCCAGCAAGUACCCGCUCCAUAUUUAGCGAGUUACACUCAAAUACAAAACCAAUAUGACAUGAAUAAAGCAUCAACUGAAGGGAAGAAAAACGCUUAAAAAGUGAACAUCUGAGAACUUUAAUUCAGACAAGUUUUGAUAAAAGCAUCAGAA